Molecule: Y RNA, 102 nt
Organism: Callithrix jacchus (white-tufted-ear marmoset)
Lineage: Eukaryota; Metazoa; Chordata; Mammalia; Primates; Cebidae
Rfam family: Y RNA
About the family: Y RNAs are components of the Ro ribonucleoprotein particle (Ro RNP), in association with Ro60 and La proteins. The Y RNAs and Ro60 and La proteins are well conserved, but the function of the Ro RNP is not known.
Source: Ensembl
GGCUGGUUCCAGUGCAGGGAGGUGCACAACUAAUUGAUCAUAACCAAUUACAGAUCUCUUUGUUCUUUCUCCAUUCCUACUGUUCUACUUGAUUAGCCUUAA